This 458-nucleotide ribosomal RNA is filed under the name uncultured bacterium. RNAcentral's name for it is "partial 16S ribosomal RNA". It matches the Rfam family "Bacterial small subunit ribosomal RNA", at positions 338 to 795 of the family's 1533-position model. The record is from RNAcentral.
CCUACGGGCGGCAGCAGUGAGGAAUAUUGGUCAAUGGGCGAGAGCCUGAACCAGCCAAGUCGCGUGAGGGAGUACUGCCCUAUGGGUUGUAAACCUCUUUUGUCGGGGAGCAAAAGCCGGACGUGUCCGGCUGUGAGAGUACCCGAAGAAAAAGCAUCGGCUAACUCCGUGCCAGCAGCCGCGGUAAUACGGAGGAUGCGAGCGUUAUCCGGAUUUAUUGGGGUAAAAGGGUGCGCAGGCGGAUUUUUAAGUCAGCGGUCAAAUCGUGGGGCUCAACCCCAUCCAGCCGUUGAAACUGGGGAUCUAGAGUGUGCGAGAGGUAUGCGGAAUGCGUGGUGUAGCGGUGAAAUGCAUAGAUAUCACGCAGAACCCCGAUUGCGAAGGCAGCAUACCGGUGCACAACUGACGCUCAGGCACGAAAGCGUGGGUAUCGAACAGGAUUAGAUACCCGUGUAGUC